This 250-nucleotide ribosomal RNA is filed under the name uncultured bacterium. RNAcentral's name for it is "partial 16S ribosomal RNA". It matches the Rfam family "Bacterial small subunit ribosomal RNA", at positions 524 to 773 of the family's 1533-position model. The record is from RNAcentral.
UACGUAGGUGGCAAGCGUUGCUCGGAAUGACUGGGCGUAAAGGGCGUGUAGGCGGUUUUGACAGUCAGAUGUGAAAUCCCCGGGCUUAACCUGGGAGCUGCAUUUGAGACGUUAAGACUAGAGUGUGAGAGAGGGUUGUGGAAUUCCCAGUGUAGAGGUGAAAUUCGUAGAUAUUGGGAAGAACACCGGUGGCGAAGGCGGCAACCUGGCUCAUUACUGACGCUGAGGCGCGAAAGCGUGGGGAGCAAAC